GGGACACGUGGUAUCCUGUCUGAAUAUGGGGGGACCAUCCUCCAAGGCUAAAUACUCCUGACUGACCGAUAGUGAACCAGUACCGUGAGGGAAAGGCGAAAAGAACCCCGGCGAGGGGAGUGAAAAAGAACCUGAAACCGUGUACGUACAAGCAGUGGGAGCACGCUUAGGCGUGUGACUGCGUACCUUUUGUAUAAUGGGUCAGCGACUUAUAUUCUGUAGCAAGGUUAACCGAAUAGGGGAGCCGAAGGGAAACCGAGUCUUAACUGGGCGUUAAGUUGCAGGGUAUAGACCCGAAACCCGGUGAUCUAGCCAUGGGCAGGUUGAAGGUUGGGUAACACUAACUGGAGGACCGAACCGACUAAUGUUGAAAAAUUAGCGGAUGACUUGUGGCUGGGGGUGAAAGGCCAAUCAAACCGGGAGAUAGCUGGUUCUCCCCGAAAGCUAUUUAGGUAGCGCCUCGUGAAUUCAUCUCCGGGGGUAGAGCACUGUUUCGGCAAGGGGGUCAUCCCGACUUACCAACCCGAUGCAAACUGCGAAUACCGGAGAAUGUUAUCACGGGAGACACACGGCGGGUGCUAACGUCCGUCGUGAAGAGGGAAACAACCCAGACCGCCAGCUAAGGUCCCAAAGUCAUGGUUAAGUGGGAAACGAUGUGGGAAGGCCCAGACAGCCAGGAUGUUGGCUUAGAAGCAGCCAUCAUUUAAAGAAAGCGUAAUAGCUCACUGGUCGAGUCGGCCUGCGCGGAAGAUGUAACGGGGCUAAACCAUGCACCGAAGCUGCGGCAGCGACGCUUAUGCGUUGUUGGGUAGGGGAGCGUUCUGUAAGCCUGUGAAGGUGUGCUGUGAGGCAUGCUGGAGGUAUCAGAAGUGCGAAUGCUGACAUAAGUAACGAUAAAGCGGGUGAAAAGCCCGCUCGCCGGAAGACCAAGGGUUCCUGUCCAACGUUAAUCGGGGCAGGGUGAGUCGACCCCUAAGGCGAGGCCGAAAGGCGUAGUCGAUGGGAAACAGGUUAAUAUUCCUGUACUUGGUGUUACUGCGAAGGGGGGACGGAGAAGGCUAUGUUGGCCGGGCGACGGUUGUCCCGGUUUAAGCGUGUAGGCUGGUUUUCCAGGCAAAUCCGGAAAAUCAAGGCUGAGGCGUGAUGACGAGGCACUACGGUGCUGAAGCAACAAAUGCCCUGCUUCCAGGAAAAGCCUCUAAGCAUCAGGUAACAUCAAAUCGUACCCCAAACCGACACAGGUGGUCAGGUAGAGAAUACCAAGGCGCUUGAGAGAACUCGGGUGAAGGAACUAGGCAAAAUGGUGCCGUAACUUCGGGAGAAGGCACGCUGAUACGUAGGUGAAGUCCCUCGCGGAUGGAGCUGAAAUCAGUCGAAGAUACCAGCUGGCUGCAACUGUUUAUUAAAAACACAGCACUGUGCAAACACGAAAGUGGACGUAUACGGUGUGACGCCUGCCCGGUGCCGGAAGGUUAAUUGAUGGGGUCAGCGCAAGCGAAGCUCUUGAUCGAAGCCCCGGUAAACGGCGGCCGUAACUAUAACGGUCCUAAGGUAGCGAAAUUCCUUGUCGGGUAAGUUCCGACCUGCACGAAUGGCGUAAUGAUGGCCAGGCUGUCUCCACCCGAGACUCAGUGAAAUUGAACUCGCUGUGAAGAUGCAGUGUACCCGCGGCAAGACGGAAAGACCCCGUGAACCUUUACUAUAGCUUGACACUGAACAUUGAGCCUUGAUGUGUAGGAUAGGUGGGAGGCUUGGAAGUGUGGACGCCAGUCUGCAUGGAGCCGACCUUGAAAUACCACCCUUUAAUGUUUGAUGUUCUAACGUUGACCCGUAAUCCGGGUUGCGGACAGUGUCUGGUGGGUAGUUUGACUGGGGCGGUCUCCUCCUAAAGAGUAACGGAGGAGCACGAAGGUUGGCUAAUCCUGGUCGGACAUCAGGAGGUUAGUGCAAUGGCAUAAGCCAGCUUGACUGCGAGCGUGACGGCGCGAGCAGGUGCGAAAGCAGGUCAUAGUGAUCCGGUGGUUCUGAAUGGAAGGGCCAUCGCUCAACGGAUAAAAGGUACUCCGGGGAUAACAGGCUGAUACCGCCCAAGAGUUCAUAUCGACGGCGGUGUUUGGCACCUCGAUGUCGGCUCAUCACAUCCUGGGGCUGAAGUAGGUCCCAAGGGUAUGGCUGUUCGCCAUUUAAAGUGGUACGCGAGCUGGGUUUAGAACGUCGUGAGACAGUUCGGUCCCUAUCUGCCGUGGGCGCUGGAGAACUGAGGGGGGCUGCUCCUAGUACGAGAGGACCGGAGUGGACGCAUCACUGGUGUUCGGGUUGUCAUGCCAAUGGCACUGCCCGGUAGCUAAAUGCGGAAGAGAUAAGUGCUGAAAGCAUCUAAGCACGAAACUUGCCCCGAGAUGAGUUCUCCCUGACUCCUUGAGAGUCCUGAAGGAACGUUGAAGACGACGACGUUGAUAGGCCGGGUGUGUAAGCGCAGCGAUGCGUUGAGCUAACCGGUACUAAUGAACCGUGAG
RNAcentral lists this ribosomal RNA (2516 nucleotides) under Escherichia coli. Its description in RNAcentral is "partial 23S ribosomal RNA". It matches the Rfam family "Bacterial large subunit ribosomal RNA", at positions 419 to 2915 of the family's 2925-position model. The record is from RNAcentral. Lineage: Bacteria; Pseudomonadati; Pseudomonadota; Gammaproteobacteria; Enterobacterales; Enterobacteriaceae.